RNAcentral lists this long non-coding RNA (829 nucleotides) under Marmota monax (woodchuck). Lineage: Eukaryota; Metazoa; Chordata; Mammalia; Rodentia; Sciuridae. The record is from RNAcentral.
GAAUUUCUGGCCUCACACUGCUUUUCUCCCUUAUGCAGGAAGCACUGGAGCCCCGCGGGCAUCUCCUGAAGGAGUCAGCAGGGCUAUUACAAGAUGUUGUUGGGGCAGCCAACUCUAAACUCAGCACUACAGAGUGGCAUUGAUGAAGCAAACAAGGCUGGCUUGUUUGUAUUUUGUGUUUCCUCAGAAAUGAGCUGGCAGUUUUGUAAUAACACGGAGGAACUGCACUUCAGUGCAUCACCCACAUAUCCCUGCCUGGCCCACCAAGCACCACCCAUGGUGUAACAGACUUACCCCCGCUAUCCCACACCCCCACCUCAGACAGGAUGCCAAGUCAGCUUCCCAGAAAGCUGUGGAUCCUAGAAUGUGAGACUGAAGGUGAGGGCAGACCAGAAUGGGGCAGCUGAGGGCCUCUGUACCUGAGUCUCUGAAGAUGUGCCCUUCAAGUAGCGUGGAACAUGGAAGAUGCCGUCAUGAGGGCAGAUGCUUGGCUGCACCCAGUUGGCUCCUGGUACACAAUCAACACCUACCUCCUAGGUCUAGAUGGCCUAGGAUCUGAGACAUUUGUCCACAUUGGGAUCAUGAAAGGCCUGGCCGAAGUCAUGAUGCUGGGUAAAUAGGAGAGAUACUCACAGAAGUCCUUGCAUCUUUUUCCCUGUGGCCAGUGGCCAGACCCACUGCCCAUUGGCCCUCCUGCACCUCUUGCUGCUUGCUCCAGUGAAACCUAUCCUUUCUGCCUCUGGGUAAUGCAGGAGAAGCAAAGACCAGAGUCACCCUUGCAUUAUGGCAAUCAAAACAAUGGCUAAUAUUUAUCAAGUGCCUGUACAGG